RNAcentral lists this unclassified non-coding RNA (280 nucleotides) under soil metagenome. RNAcentral describes it as "partial contains small subunit ribosomal RNA, internal transcribed spacer 1, and 5.8S ribosomal RNA". The record is from RNAcentral.
UUUCCGUAGGUGAACCUGCGGAAGGAUCAUUAAUCAGUACCGAUGCCUUCAUGGUUGAGGAUACCGCACAGUGGCCUGCUUCGGCAGGCUAACGUGUAUAACCACUUGUUGAAACACCUUCCUUUGCUUCGGCAGCACCUUCCACUUAAUUGCGGAGGGGUAAGGCUGUCAGAAGCUCAUAACCAAACCAGUUGAUGAAAUGUCAUGCUGUCUGAUACCGUUUAGUAUUUGAGAAAUCGAAUAACUAUUAAAACUUUCAGCAACGGAUCUCUUGGUUCCC